This 292-nucleotide ribosomal RNA is filed under the name uncultured bacterium. RNAcentral's name for it is "partial 16S ribosomal RNA". The record is from RNAcentral. RNAcentral also lists the same sequence under 1 other name.
GGACUACUGGGGUAUCUAAUCCCGUUCGCUCCCCACGCUUUCGUGCCUCAGUGUCAGAACCUGCCCAGUCACCCGUCUUCACCACAGGCGUUCCAGACGAUAUCUACGCAUUUCACCGCUCCACCGUCUGUUCCAGUGACCCCUACAGGCCUCAAGUCCGCCAGUAUUCGAAGCAAUUCCCGGGUUGAGCCCGGGGAUUUCACAACGAACUUAACGGACCACCUACGCACCCUUUAAACCCAGUGAUUCUCAGUAACGCUUGGGACCUCUGUAUUACCGCGGCUGCUGGCAC